GACGAACGCUGGCGGCGUGCUUAACACAUGCAAGUCGAACGGAAAGGCCCUGCUUUUGUGGGGUGCUCGAGUGGCGCACGGGUGAGUAACACGUGAGUAACCUGCCCUUGACUUUGGGAUAACUUCAGGAAACUGGGGCUAAUACCGGAUAGGAGCUCCUGCUGCAUGGUGGGGGUUGGAAAAUUUCGGCGGUUGGGGAUGGUCUGGCGGCUUAUCAGCUUGUUGGUGAGGUAGUGGCUUACGAAGGCUUUGACGGGUAGCCGGCCUGAGAGGGUGACCGGCCACAUUGAGACUGAGAUACGGCCCAGACUCCUACGGGAGGCAGCAGUGGGGAAUAUUGCACAAUGGGCGGAAGCCUGAUGCAGCAACGCCGCGUGCGGGAUGCCGGCCUUCGGGUGGUAAACCGCUUUCGCCGGUGACGAAGCGUGAGUGACGGUAAUGGGUAAAGAAGCACCGGCUAACUACGUG
This 468-nucleotide ribosomal RNA is filed under the name uncultured bacterium. RNAcentral describes it as "partial 16S ribosomal RNA". It matches the Rfam family "Bacterial small subunit ribosomal RNA", at positions 28 to 507 of the family's 1533-position model. The record is from RNAcentral.